Passer domesticus (house sparrow) is the source of this 1071-nucleotide long non-coding RNA. RefSeq lists it as uncharacterized. The transcript is spliced from 3 exons. The record is from RefSeq and is a predicted model, not a curated record. NCBI's taxonomy places the organism in Eukaryota, Metazoa, Chordata, Aves, Passeriformes, Passeridae.
GUGACACCAGCCUGCCAGGGCAGGUUUCCAUGGCAACCAACCAUCACAACAGGUCCAGGCCUUGGUUGCUGUGGCACCAAACUAAGGAAUGGGUCCCUGUGGCCGUUGCCAUGGCACCUGGUGGCACCAAUGAGUGUCACUGCAAUUCUACCUGGAACAGCCCUGGCACUGCUUUGUCCUGAGGGUUGCUGUGGCAGCCAAGGACAGCAACAGCUCUGCACGCAAGUGGCCAUGGAAUCUGGCUGCAGAAAUGGCUCCUUGGGGUGGUUUCCAAGGAAACUUGAACUGAUGAGGGUUGCCAUGGCACCCAAACGCAGCAGUGGGGUCAGUGCAGUGUCCAUGGCAACAGCCCCUUUCAAUGGCCCAGUGCAGGCUGGGAUGAUGAUCCAUCCUCACAGCCGACCCAGGGCAGGUCUGCAGUGGUCUUGCUGGCACCUUGGGCUUGGCACACACUUGAGGAGGGUGUUUUCAAUGGGGGCCUCAGGAGAUUUAGAUUGCUUCAAAAAAUUAAAAAGGCAAAAUCCCUCUUUGGUUGGGUUCAGCCAGUUCUCCAAGCAAAUCAGGUCCCAGGUCCCCAUGCGCAGCCACAGCAAAUGUCCAACAGCAGCUCCAUCAGAUCUUCAGGGCCGUGCUGAGGAUCCUCUCUGAGCAGGGACGGCACAAAGCCUUUUCCACCUGCCUCCCUCACUUGGCUGUGGUCUCUCUGUUUAUCAGUACUGCUACAUUUGCAUACCUGAAGCUCCCCUCUGUUUCUUCUCCAUCCCUGGAUCUGUCAGUCUCUGUUCUGUACUGAGUAGUGAUUCCAGCACUGAACAACCUUAUCUACCGCCUGAGGAACCAGGAGCUCAAGGAUGCCUUGAGGAAAGUGGUGAUUGUAUCUUUUCAGAAACAAUAAACUCUCUUUUUUCUGCUCAGAACCUUCAGAAUGUAACUUUUUACAAUCUCAGCUGUUUUUUCCCUAUUUGUCCAUUUUUCAUUGGGAGGGACCUUAUUAGUUUUCUAGUUUUAUAAUGAUUUUUAUAAAAAACAUUAUAGCAUUUCUUCAUAAAAAGCUCCUGGUAGCUUGGUUAC